Molecule: transfer RNA, 74 nt
Filed under: archaeon
Lineage: Archaea
Description: tRNA-Arg
Rfam family: tRNA
About the family: Transfer RNA (tRNA) molecules are approximately 80 nucleotides in length.
Source: RNAcentral
GGGCCCGUAGCUCAAUUGGAUAGAGCACUAGCCUUCUAAGCUAGGGGUUGCAGGUUCGAGACCUGCCGGGCCCA